Molecule: ribosomal RNA, 364 nt
Filed under: uncultured bacterium
Lineage: Bacteria
Description: bacterial SSU rRNA
Rfam family: Bacterial small subunit ribosomal RNA
Source: RNAcentral
AGAGUUUGAUCAUGGCUCAGAAUGAACGCUAGCGGCGUGCUUAACACAUGCAAGUCGUACGAGAACUCUUUAGCUUGCUAAAGAUAGUAAAGUGGCGCACGGGUGAGUAACGCGUGGGUAAUCUACCUCUGAAUUUGGGAUAACUCCGCGAAAGCGGGGCUAAUACCGGAUAAUAUUUCAGGAUCUUUGGGUCUUGAAAUCAAAAGUGGCCUCUACAUGUAAGCUACUGUUUGGAGAUGAGCCCGCGUACCAUUAGCUUGUUGGUAGGGUAAUGGCCUACCAAGGCUACGAUGGUUAGCUGGUCUGAGAGGAUGAUCAGCCACACUGGAACUGACACACGGUCCAGACUCCUACGGGAGGCAGC